Long non-coding RNA from Raphanus sativus (radish), 785 nucleotides. RefSeq lists it as uncharacterized. The record is from RefSeq and is a predicted model, not a curated record. The transcript has 2 exons. NCBI's taxonomy places the organism in Eukaryota, Viridiplantae, Streptophyta, Magnoliopsida, Brassicales, Brassicaceae.
GGUUCAGAGUACAUGCGAAAUCGACAAAGCCCGUUUCGCCAACGAAUCAGCUCUACGGUUUUCCGAUCGAGGAACAAAAACGAAAGAGAUAGAGAUAAACACAGAGGCGAUUUGCAUGAUAUCAGUGACGAUACCGAAGAUCUCCUUGAUCUGGUGUUUAUUUUUGAUCGCUCUAAUGAGCUUCUGACAGUUGGAGCAGACUCUGAGUUCCGUGAUGUUGAGUUCUGCCGCUGCUAUGAGGCCCGAUCGAAGCGCCAGCGCUUCAGCCAUCAGAGGAGAAGAGACGUUGUCGACGAUUGCGGAUCCCUCACGAAGACUCGCUUCUGGCGAGUACGAGAUUAUCCAAGCGCUUCCUGCUUUCUUUGUAGUUGCGUCCCAGGAGGCGUCUGUAUAGCAUGUCGGGGUAGGGGUCUCCAGCCUUUCUCGUGAGGAAAGGUGGCGAUGAGUUCUUGGAGAGUUUCUGGAGAGAAGCUGGAGAAGAGGCAAUUGGUAGGGAUGAAAGUGAAGAUGGUGAUGACGGUGUUGAUUAUAGCUUUGGUCUAUAUGUAUAAUUAGAUCUGCACCAGACAUAGACACAUGACACACAAUAAAUAACUGAUCUCACAUUCUCACCUAACAUAUUGUAUAUGUAUCCCAACGAAUCUCCAUUUUCAUAUAUUUUUAUUUUGGAAACAGAAAAAUGCACAGCUAAUCUCACACCUAACAUACUGUAUAUACGUAUCUCAAACGAAUCUCCGUUUUUAUAUAUUUUAUUUACUAAAAAUAAACUAUACAUUUUUCAGUGA